CAGUAGCCGCGGUAAUACGUAGGGGGCGAGCGUUGUCCGAAGUUACUGGGCGUAAAGCGCGCGUAGGCGGCUUCUUAAGUCUGAGGUGAAAGGUUCAACGCUUAACGUGAACAGUGCCUUGGAUACUGGGGAGCUUGAGUAUGGGAGAGGGCAGUGGAAUGGCUGGUGUAGCGGUGAAAUGCGUAGAUAUCAGUCGGAACACCCAUGGCGAAGGCAGCCGCCUGGCCUAAUACUAACGCUGAGGUGCGAAAGCGUGGGGAGCGAACGGGAUUAGAUACCCCAGUAGUCCCUGUCUCUUAUU
This 301-nucleotide ribosomal RNA is filed under the name uncultured bacterium. RNAcentral describes it as "partial 16S ribosomal RNA". It matches the Rfam family "Bacterial small subunit ribosomal RNA", at positions 509 to 808 of the family's 1533-position model. The record is from RNAcentral.